UUGAAAGGGAAACGAUUGAAGUAUACCAACGGGAGAAAACCCCCCGAGCCUGUAACGAGGGUUCGAAAGCCAAACGCCUACGGGCACGCGAGACCGGGUUCCAUGGCUACCCACUCGUACGGUUAGUCAACAUCGGUUCCGAAUGUCAUAAAACGACUGGAGGAACUAGCCUCGAUCUCGUAUCGAAUCGUUAUAGCCUCCGGUAGACGCGACGCCCGAGACCGAGGACCGCAACGGAUACCCUUUAAGGGCUAUUCGUCUGAUCUCUGAUACGUUACCUUGAUGUCGAAAGCUUGCUUAUGAUGUUAGGGUAUCACGGUCAAAAGGUUAGAACGGAUUAAAUUCGUUAAGGAUGUUGACGUA
RNAcentral lists this ribosomal RNA (363 nucleotides) under uncultured Glomeraceae. RNAcentral describes it as "LSU rRNA". The record is from RNAcentral. Lineage: Eukaryota; Fungi; Glomeromycota; Glomeromycetes; Glomerales; Glomeraceae.